AACGCGAAGAACCUUACCAAGGCUUGACAUAUAAGAGAACGGUGCAGAAAUGUAGAAUUCUUUGGACACUCGUAAACAGGUGGUGCAUGGUUGUCGUCAGCUCGUGUCGUGAGAUGUUGGGUUAAGUCCCGCAACGAGCGCAACCCUCGUUAUAUGUUGCCAGCAUGUAAUGGUGGGAACUCAUGGGAUACUGCCGGGGUCAACUCGGAGGAAGGUGGGGAUGACGUCAAAUCAUCAUGCCCCUUAUGUCUUGGGCUUCACGCAUGCUACAAUGGCCGGUACAAAGGGCUGCAAUACCGUGAGGUGGACAGAAUCCCAAAAAGCCGGUCCCAGUUAGGAUUGAGGUUUUCAACUGGGCUUCAUGAAGUGGGAGUCGUUAGUAAUGGCAGAUCAGCAACGCUGCGGUGAAGCGUUCCCGGGUCUUGUGCACACCG
This 434-nucleotide ribosomal RNA is filed under the name uncultured Microbacterium sp. RNAcentral describes it as "bacterial SSU rRNA". It matches the Rfam family "Bacterial small subunit ribosomal RNA", at positions 958 to 1392 of the family's 1533-position model. Lineage: Bacteria; Bacillati; Actinomycetota; Actinomycetes; Micrococcales; Microbacteriaceae. The record is from RNAcentral.